GUCUUUUUGUUAAAAAUUUAAAGUCUAACCUGCCCAAUGAAAAUUUAAAUGGCCGCAGUAUUUUGACUGUGCAAAGGUAGCAUAAUCAUUAGUUUCUUAAUUAGAAACUGGAAUGAAAGGUUGAACGAAAAAAUAACUGUCUCUUUGUAAAUUUUUUAGAAUUUUAUUUUUGAGUAAAAAAGCUUAAAUUUAUUUAAAAGACGAGAAGACCCUAUAGAGUUUUAUAUAAAGUUUGUUAUAUAUAAAAGUUGAAUUAUUUAUUAUAAAGAAAAUAUUAUAUUUAGUUGGGGUGAUUGAAAAAUUUGAUGAACUUUUUAAAUAAAUUUAUUCAUAAAUUUAUGUAUUUUUGAUCCAUAGUUUGUGAUUAUAAGAUUAAAUUACCUUAGGGAUAACAGCGUAAUUUUUUUUUAGAGUUCUUAUCGAUAAAAAAGUUUGCGACCUCGAUGUUGGAUUAAAAUAUAAGUUUGGUGUAGAAGCUAAAUUAUUAGGUCUGUUCGACCUUUAAAAUUUUACAUGAUCUGAGUUUAAACCGGUGUAAGCCAGGUUGGUUUCUAUCUUUAAAUAAAUUGAAUAUUUUAGUACGAAAGGACCAAGUAUUUAUAAUAAUUAUUUUAUAUGAAUUUUAUUAAUAUAAGU
RNAcentral lists this ribosomal RNA (636 nucleotides) under Discerota torrentum. RNAcentral's name for it is "partial 16S ribosomal RNA". It matches the Rfam family "Bacterial large subunit ribosomal RNA", at positions 1825 to 2769 of the family's 2925-position model. Lineage: Eukaryota; Metazoa; Arthropoda; Insecta; Coleoptera; Staphylinidae. The record is from RNAcentral.